CGUGGGGAGAAGAAGAGAGGAAGAAGAGGGAGAAGAGAAGAAGAAGAAGAAGAAGAAGAGAGGAGGAUAGCUGCGGCAAGGCUGCAGCGAGGAGGUGUGUGGCGUUGGGGAGGAAAAGGGAAGAGGAGAAGAAGAGAAGGAGAAGAAGAGGGAAAAGAGAGGGAAGAGGGAGAGGAGCAAGAGGUGGAAGCAGCUAGGGCUGCAGCACCUUUGUUUCCUGCAAGUCGAAACAGAGGAGAGGUGUGGGGCGAUCGAAGAGGAGAAGAAGAAGAAGAGGAAGCAGGAGAAGAGGUUGUGAUGCCUCUGUUCCUGCAGAGGAAACAGAGGAGAGGGUGUGUGUGACGCCGGGGAGGAGGAGGGAAGAAGAAGAGGAGAAGAAGAAGAGAAGGGAAAGGAGGAGCUGUGGUUGCGGCGGUGGCAACUGCAGCUGGAAGAGAAGGAGAGGAAGAGAUGGCGAGGAAGAAGAGAAGAAGAAGAAAGGAAGGAGAAGGAAGAGGAUAAGGGAAAGAAGUAGCUGCGGCUGCGGCUGUGGCAGCUGCAGCUAUGGCAGGGAAANNNNNNNNNNNNNNNNNNNNAAGAAGAGGCUGCAGCCGUGGCUAAGGCUGCGACUGCAGCAGUGCAGCUGGGAAAGAAGAGAAGGAAAGGAAGAAGAAGAGAAAGGAAAAGGGAAGAAGAGAGGAAGAGGAGAAGGGGAGGCAGCUGCGGCAGUGGUAGCUGCAGCUGGAAGAGAAGGAGAGGAAACAUAGCACAGGGGAGGAAGAAGAGGCUGCGGCUAUGGUGGUUGCGGCCGUGGCUG
RNAcentral lists this long non-coding RNA (796 nucleotides) under Musa acuminata (dwarf banana). Its description in RNAcentral is "long non-coding RNA (MACU_LNC004642)". Lineage: Eukaryota; Viridiplantae; Streptophyta; Magnoliopsida; Zingiberales; Musaceae. The record is from RNAcentral.